RNAcentral lists this ribosomal RNA (518 nucleotides) under Lacerta agilis (Sand lizard). RNAcentral describes it as "partial 16S ribosomal RNA". It matches the Rfam family "Bacterial large subunit ribosomal RNA", at positions 1849 to 2620 of the family's 2925-position model. Lineage: Eukaryota; Metazoa; Chordata; Lepidosauria; Squamata; Lacertidae. The record is from RNAcentral.
GUCCCGCCUGCCCAGUGACUCUUUAAACGGCCGCGGUAUCCUAACCGUGCAAAGGUAGCAUAAUCACUUGUCCCCUAAAUCGGGACUAGAAUGAAUGGGUAAAUGAGGACUAAACUGUCUCUUACGGACUGACCAAUGAAAUUGAUUUCCCAGUACAAAAGCUGGGAUAUACUCAUAAGACGAGAAGACCCUGUGGAGCUUCAAAACCAAACCAUCCAGCAUGCUCCUUGGAUUUUUAGUUGGGGCGACUUCGGAAUAUAAAAAAACUUCCAAAAAAUGAAAUAAUUUAUUAAGGUUAACACACCAAAAUUAGCCCAUUAGACCCAGCAACUAACUGUUUGUCUGAUUAAUGAACCAAGUUACCCCAGGGAUAACAGCGCAAUCUCCUUUUAGAGUCCAUAUCGACAAGGGGGUUUACGACCUCGAUGUUGGAUCAGGACACCCCAAUGGUGCAGCCGCCAUUAAAGGUUCGUUUGUUCAACGAUUAAUAGUCCUACGUGAUCUGAGUUCAGACCGGA